This 518-nucleotide ribosomal RNA is filed under the name uncultured Acidiphilium sp. RNAcentral's name for it is "bacterial SSU rRNA". It matches the Rfam family "Bacterial small subunit ribosomal RNA", at positions 30 to 611 of the family's 1533-position model. The record is from RNAcentral. Lineage: Bacteria; Pseudomonadati; Pseudomonadota; Alphaproteobacteria; Acetobacterales; Acidocellaceae.
CGACGCGUCGGCAUCUUACACAGUCAGUGCACGGGCAGGGCACCUGUCAGUGGCGGACGGGUAGUACGCGAUCUAUCCUUGGGUGGGGGACAACCGUGGGAAACUACGGCUAAUACCGCAUGAUCCCUGAGGGGCAAAGGCGAAAGUCGCCUGAGGAGGAGCCUGCGUCUGAUUAGGUAGUUGGUGGGGUAAAGGCCUACCAAGCCUUCGAUCAGUAGCUGGUCUGAGAGGAUGAUCAGCCACACUGGGACUGAGACACGGCCCAGACUCCUACGGGAGGCAGCAGUGGGGAAUAUUGGACAAUGGGCGAAAGCCUGAUCCAGCAAUGCCGCGUGGAUGAAGAAGGUCUUCGGAUUGUAAAGUCCUUUUGGCGGGGACGAUGAUGACGGUACCCGCAGAAUAAGCUCCGGCUAACUUCGUGCCAGCAGCCGCGGUAAUACGAAGGGGGCUAGCGUGCUCGGAAUGACUGGGCGUAAGGGCGCGUAAGCGACGGACAGUCGGCGUGAAUUCUGGGCUCA